GGUAUGGGAUGAGCUUGCGUCCGAUUAGCUAGUUGGCGGGGCAACGGCCCACCAAGGCGACGAUCGGUAGCCGGCCUGAGAGGGUGAUCGGCCACAUUGGGACUGAGAUACGGCCCAGACUCCUACGGGAGGCAGCAGUAGGGAAUAUUGCACAAUGGGGGAAACCCUGAUGCAGCAACGCCACGUGUGGGAAGAAGCAUUUCGGUGUGUAAACCACUGUCGUGAGGGAAUAAGGCUAUUUUUCGGAGUAGUUGAAUGUACCUCGAGAGGAAGCACCGGCAAACUUCGUGCCAGCAGCCGCGGUAAUACGAGGGGUGCAAGCGUUGUUCGGAAUCACUGGGCGUAAAGGGAGCGCAGGCGGAAGCUCAAGCGGAUUGUACAAUACCGGGGCCCGACCCCGGACCUGCAGUCCGAACUGGGUUUCUUGGAUAGUUCAGGGGCAGGC
Molecule: ribosomal RNA, 445 nt
Filed under: uncultured bacterium
Lineage: Bacteria
Description: bacterial SSU rRNA
Rfam family: Bacterial small subunit ribosomal RNA
Source: RNAcentral